Molecule: ribosomal RNA, 374 nt
Filed under: uncultured bacterium
Lineage: Bacteria
Description: bacterial SSU rRNA
Rfam family: Bacterial small subunit ribosomal RNA
Source: RNAcentral
GACGAACGCUGGCGGCGUGCUUAACACAUGCAAGUCGAACGGUGAACCAGAGCUUGCUCUGGGGAUCAGUGGCGAACGGGUGAGUAACACGUGGGCAACCUGCCCCAGACUCUGGGAUAACCUCGGGAAACCGAUGCUAAUACCGGAUACGACCACUUCGGACAUCCGACGGUGGUGGAAAGUUUUUCGGUCUGGGAUGGGCCCGCGGCCUAUCAGCUAGUUGGUGGGGUAAUGGCCUACCAAGGCGACGACGGGUAGCCGGCCUGAGAGGGCGACCGGCCACACUGGAGCUGAGACACGGUCCAGACUCCUACGGGAGGGCAGCAGUGGGGGAAUAUUGCACAAUGGCGGAAAGACCUGAUGCAGCGACGCCG